GGGGAAUAUUGCACAAUGGGGGAAACCCUGAUGCAGCAACGCCGCGUGAGCGAUGAAGGCCUUCGGGUUGUAAAGCUCUGUCUUCGCUGACGAUAAUGACGGUAAGCGAGGAGGAAGCCACGGCUAACUACGUGCCAGCAGCCGCGGUAAUACGUAGGUGGCAAGCGUUGUCCGGAAUUACUGGGCGUAAAGGAUGCGUAGGCGGAUAUUUAAGUGGGAUGUGAAAUCCUGGGGCUCAACUCCAGAACUGCAUUCCAAACUGGAUAUCUAGAGUGCAGGAGAGGAAAGUGGAAUUCCCAGUGUAGCGGUGAAAUGCGUAGAGAUUGGGAGGAACACCAGUGGCGAAGGCGACUUUCUGGACUGUAACUGACGCUGAGGCAUGAAAGUGUGGGGAGCAAAC
This 400-nucleotide ribosomal RNA is filed under the name uncultured bacterium. Its description in RNAcentral is "bacterial SSU rRNA". It matches the Rfam family "Bacterial small subunit ribosomal RNA", at positions 356 to 773 of the family's 1533-position model. The record is from RNAcentral.